This 1396-nucleotide long non-coding RNA is filed under the name Amborella trichopoda. RNAcentral describes it as "long non-coding RNA (ATRI_LNC002025)". Lineage: Eukaryota; Viridiplantae; Streptophyta; Magnoliopsida; Amborellales; Amborellaceae. The record is from RNAcentral.
ACCAUCAAAGUCAAAAGUAUUUUUGGAAUACUAAGAAGGUAAGGCAAUUUUUUUUUAAAAAAAUAACAAAUAGAGAAAAUGGCUGUAAGUUUUUUUUUGUAAUAACAUAAAUAAAAAGAACAAUUUUAUAUAAGGCUGAGGCCCUAAAAUUUAAAAUUAAGGCGCACAUCAAAAAUUCGCUAGAAGAAGUUGUUUCCAUGUCCAAAAAUCCUCAAAUUUGUUCAUCUCGACCUUAAGCAAUAUGAACAUGAGAAGAAAUAGAUUUCAUUUUUGGAAAAUAAUGCAUCUUGCAAUGCAUUUUUCUUAAACGUCAAUUUUGAAGUUUAUCAAAUGUUCAUAGAUCGGCUGAAUCUACAUACCUUAGCCUUAUAAAAACCACCCCCUAUACAUAAUUUUCUAGAUUUUUAUGCGUUUAAUAUACUUGAUUUGAACUAUUUUUGGAAUUCAAAAUUUUAUUAUCAGAAAUAAAAUAGAUUCUCUGGUGAUCCUAAAAAUUUUGGACACCAAAUUACAUCUUAUGACGAUGCUUGGAGGUGCGUCUUGUAAUUCUUUAAGGCGACAACCAGUGUUGUUGUGUUCGCUUCCUCGGCUAAAGCUUCGAUUUUUCCCUUGUAUUUUGCAGAGAGAAAGAGAUACUGGCAUUUCAGAGAGAAUACACCCACUUGGAUUGAGAUUCAAGCAAUCUAGACCAAACACUGUAAAUUUUAUUGCAAUGUCACUGUAAGCUUUCCAUCUUCUUCCACUGAAAAAACCCAAAUCAAGAAACCUGAAAUCCUUUGUUUUAACACAGAAACCAGAACCCAAUUUUGUUACACAAAGAAAAAACACCCAAUUAGCUUUAGAUCCAAUAAAACCACUAAAAAAACAAACCAUUAAAACCACCCAACUCUUUUAAAUCAAGCAACCAUGAACAAAACCUGUGUUAUUCUUUUAAAACUGGUCAUGGGUCUUCUUUGUUGUGCCCUCUUCGUUGUGGAUAGGCAGAAGGUGGGGCCUGAAUCCAGCAAAGAAAAAGGCUAGGGCAAGUUUCAAUUAAUAAACAGUUUUGUGUAUUGGUUUAUGGAGAGAGAGGAUCCUGCUUUUGGGCAAGGCCAUUUGGGGUAACGUGGGAAAAAGGAAGUGGAGGCAUUAUUGGUAUUAGGUAUUAGGUGCUUCAUAUUGUAUUCAUACUAUCGUGGUUGAGGUUCGUAAUAAAUUUAUUUAUUAUUAAUUUUGUGCUUUUAAAUUUUUGUAGAAUUAUAAAAAAAUAUUUGUAUUUAUUUAAAAAAAAAAUAAAAAAAUAGAAGUCUUCCCCCUCAUUUGUCAUGCCGUUAUUUUUAAACUCGCUCUCUCCCUUUGCUCAUCAUAUACCUCUUCUAAGAGAGAGAGAGAGAGAGAGAGAGAGAGAGGAAGAGAG